RNAcentral lists this unclassified non-coding RNA (357 nucleotides) under Athalia rosae (coleseed sawfly). RNAcentral's name for it is "misc RNA ENSAEAG00005008759.1". The record is from RNAcentral. Lineage: Eukaryota; Metazoa; Arthropoda; Insecta; Hymenoptera; Athaliidae.
CGUUGAUCGCGACAACUUUCAACGGAAACUCACGGUGAAUACGCAAUUUUUCUUAUAUUUUUGGGCGCGUGAUAUCUCUCAGUUUUUACUUUUUCUUCUCAAUUUUCAUUCUCUCUCAAUUCUUUCGCAUUGAAUAUUUCCGUUCGUUCAUCCACACGAUCGUCUUCGUAUACCCCGUACAUAGCCAUUCGCGUUAUUCGAUAUCGUUAUUACUAUCGUCAUUACUGUAAUAAUAAUAAUCAGUAUCAUCAUCAUUGCCAAUUAUUUCCGUCGGAGAGAAAAAAAGAAAAAAAUAGAAAAAACCACCGGAGGCAAAAAAUUCAACAUAUACACCUAAUAAACCGAACUGUAUUCGAG